Molecule: ribosomal RNA, 750 nt
Filed under: uncultured Verrucomicrobiae bacterium
Lineage: Bacteria; Pseudomonadati; Verrucomicrobiota; Verrucomicrobiia
Description: bacterial SSU rRNA
Rfam family: Bacterial small subunit ribosomal RNA
Source: RNAcentral
AGGGGUUUUGAUCAUGGCUCAGAACGAACGCUGGCGGCGUGGAUUAGGCAUGCAAGUCGAACGAUAACCUUGGCAAUUGAUUCUUCGGAAAAUUUUUCCUUGGGGACAGUGGCGAACGGGUGAGUAACGCGUGGGCAAUUUACCCUUAAGUUGGGGAUAGCCCUUCGAAAGGAGGGGUAAUACCGAAUGUGGUCGUUCCUCGCAUGAGGAACUGUCUAAAGGUGGGGAUCCUUCGGGACCUACCGCUUAGGGAUGAGCCCGCGUACUAUCAGCUUGUUGGUGGGGUAACGGCUCACCAAGGCUUAGACGGUUAGCUGGUCUGAGAGGAUGGUCAGCCACACUGGGACUGAGACACUGCCCAGACUCCUACGGGAGGCUGCAGUCGAGAAUCAUUGUCAAUGCGCGAAAGCGUGAACAUGCGACGCCGCGUGGAGGAUGAAGGCCUUCGGGUUGUAAACUCCUGUCAGGGGGGAAAAACGAUUUCGGAGUGAUAAGCUUCGAGAUGUGAUGGUACCUCCAAAGGAAGCCACGGCUAACUCUGUGCCAGCAGCCGCGGUAAUACAGAGGUGGCAAGCGUUGUUCGGAUUUACUGGGCGUAAAGGGUGCGUAGGCGGCCCUGUGUGUCGGCUGUGAAAGCCCACGGCUCAACCGUGGAAAGGCAUCCGAAACUGCAGGGCUAGAGUACUGGAGAGGAGAGCGGAAUUCUCGGUGUACGGUGAAAUGCGUAGAUAUCGAGAAGAACGCCGGUGG